RNAcentral lists this ribosomal RNA (228 nucleotides) under uncultured bacterium. RNAcentral describes it as "partial 16S ribosomal RNA". It matches the Rfam family "Bacterial small subunit ribosomal RNA", at positions 568 to 795 of the family's 1533-position model. The record is from RNAcentral.
CGUCUAGGUGGCCCGCCAAGUCAGAUGUGAAAUCCCUCGGCUCAACCGAGGAACUGCAUUUGAAACUGGCGAGCUUGAGUACUGUAGAGGGUAGCGGAAUUCCUGGUGUAGAGGUGAAAUUCGUAGAUAUCAGGAGGAACACCAGUGGCGAAGGCGGCUACCUGGCCAGAUACUGACACUAAAGCGCGAAAGCAUGGGGAGCAAACAGGAUUAGAUACCCUGGUAGUC